This 557-nucleotide ribosomal RNA is filed under the name Morbakka virulenta. RNAcentral describes it as "partial 16S ribosomal RNA". It matches the Rfam family "Bacterial large subunit ribosomal RNA", at positions 1892 to 2595 of the family's 2925-position model. Lineage: Eukaryota; Metazoa; Cnidaria; Cubozoa; Carybdeida; Carukiidae. The record is from RNAcentral.
AUUUUUAAUAAAUAAACUAAUAGAAAUUUAAGAGCCGCGGUAACUCUGACCGUGCUAAGGUAGCAUAAUCAAUCGCCAUUUAAUUGAUGGCUGGAAUGAAGGGUUAAACGAGUUUUUCCCUGUCUCGGUUACAGAAUAAGUGAAAUUGAGCGAUUUGUCAAGACUCAAAUCAUUUUUGAUAAGACGAGAAGACCCCGUUGAGCUUUACUUGAUCUUCUUUUAUUCAGGGUUUAAUAGAAGAAUAAACCCUCAAAAGAGAAGGGAUAGUUUGGUUGGGGCGACCACCCAAAUAGACGAAACUUGGGUACACAAAGGUUUUUUGUAAUAAAUGAAGCUUUACUAGUAGAUAGAUGUAUUAGCUAGCUAAGAACAAUUCUUAAGUUAUAGGGACCCGCCUCCUGCUGGGGGCGAUAAUAGAUAAAAGUUACCACGGGGAUAACAGGGUUAUUCAAUCCCAGAGUUCAUAUCGAAGAUUGAGUUUGCCACCUCGAUGUUGAAUAGCAGCAUCCUGAAGGUGCAGAAGCUUUCAAGGGUUGGUCUGUUCGACCAUUAAAGCC